CCUACGGGUGGCAGCAGUAGGGAAUCUUCCACAAUGGGCGAAAGCCUGAUGGAGCAACGCCGCGUGGGUGAAGAAGGUCUUCGGAUCGUAAAACCCUGUUGUUAGAGAAGAAAGUGCGUGAGAGUAACUGUUCACGUUUCGACGGUAUCUAACCAGAAAGCCACGGCUAACUACGUGCCAGCAGCCGCGGUAAUACGUAGGUGGCAAGCGUUAUCCGGAUUUAUUGGGGUUAAAGGGAACGCAGGCGGUCUUUUAAGUCUGAUGUGAAAGCCUGCGGCUUAACCGGAGUAGUGCAUUGGAAACUGGGAGACUUGAGGGCAGAAGAGGAGAGGGGAACUCAAGGUGUAGCGGGGAAAUGCGUAGAGAGAUGGAAGAACACCAGUGGCGAAGGCGGCUCUCUGGUCUGUAACUGACGCUGAGGUUCGAAAGUGUGGGUAGCAAACAGGAUUAGAUACCCUAGUAGUC
RNAcentral lists this ribosomal RNA (465 nucleotides) under uncultured bacterium. RNAcentral describes it as "partial 16S ribosomal RNA". It matches the Rfam family "Bacterial small subunit ribosomal RNA", at positions 338 to 795 of the family's 1533-position model. The record is from RNAcentral.